ACUCCUACGGGAGGCAGCAGUAGGGAAUCUUCCGCAAUGGACGCAAGUCUGACGGAGCAACGCCGCGUGAGUGAAGAAGGUCUUCGGAUCGUAAAGCUCUGUUGUUAGAGAAGAACAGCGCAUAGAGUAACUGUUAUGCGUGUGACGGUAUCUAACCAGAAAGCCACGGCUAACUACGUGCCAGCAGCCGCGGUAAUACGUAGGUGGCGAGCGUUGUCCGGAUUUAUUGGGCGUAAAGGGAGUGUAGGCGGUCUUUUAAGUCUGAUGUGAAAGCCCACGGCUCAACCGUGGAGGGUCAUUGGAAACUGGGAGACUUGAGUGCAGAAGAGGAGAGCGGAAUUCCAUGUGUAGCGGUGAAAAUGCGUAGAUAUAUGGAGGAACACCAGUGGCGAAGGCGGCUCUCUGGUCUGUAAACUGACGCUGAGGCUCG
RNAcentral lists this ribosomal RNA (430 nucleotides) under uncultured bacterium. RNAcentral's name for it is "bacterial SSU rRNA". It matches the Rfam family "Bacterial small subunit ribosomal RNA", at positions 335 to 755 of the family's 1533-position model. The record is from RNAcentral.